Molecule: ribosomal RNA, 485 nt
Filed under: uncultured bacterium
Lineage: Bacteria
Description: partial 16S ribosomal RNA
Rfam family: Bacterial small subunit ribosomal RNA
Source: RNAcentral
GACGAACGCUGGCGGCGUGCUUAACACAUGCAAGUCGAACGAUGAAAGCUGGAGCUUGCUCCGGCUGGAUUAGUGGCGAACGGGUGAGUAACACGUGAGCAAUCUGCCCUUGACUCUGGGAUAACUCCGAGAAAUCGGUGCUAAUACCGGAUAUGACCCUUGGCGGCCUCGCUGGGGGUGGAAAGUUUUUCGGUCAAGGAUGAGCUCGCGGCCUAUCAGCUUGUUGGUGCGGUAAUGGCUCACCAAGGCGACGACAGGUAGCCGGCCUAAGAGGGUGACCGGCCACACUGGGACUGAGACACGGCCCAGACUCCUACGGGAGGCAGCAGUGGGGAAUAUUGCACAAUGGGCGCAAGCCUGAUGCAGCAACGCCGCGUGGGGGAUGACGGCCUUCGGGUUGUAAACCUCUUUUCGCAGGGAAGAAGCGAAAGUGACGGUACCUGCAGAAAAAGCACCGGCUAACUACGUGCCAGCAGCCGCCGCGG